RNAcentral lists this long non-coding RNA (899 nucleotides) under Vulpes vulpes (red fox). Its description in RNAcentral is "lncRNA (ENSVVUG00000019406.1)". The record is from RNAcentral. Lineage: Eukaryota; Metazoa; Chordata; Mammalia; Carnivora; Canidae.
AGGGAAUGAGCGUGAAAUGGCUGUACUUUCGGGAGGCCAGCUAACUAUGUGGCUGCCCCGAGUGAGGCAGGCCCAGCAGGAUGGCAGACACAGAGGCAGGGGCAGAGUUUCUGGUCUUGCUCUUUAAGACCAAGUCUUAGCCCUGCCUGUUACUAAAUGCAAUCCAAUGAGUGUUUCACAUUUUGAUCCAAUUAGAAAUGCCUUCUCCCCUGAAGGUAACCCACCAGGAAUGGGGCAGAGACAGGCCUAGGCAGGAAAGAGGCUAGAAAUUCCUCUUUUCUUCACAUAACUUGGGAGAAAACAGUCUGUGCACCCAAAGAGUUUUCAAAUUCCCCUGAAUUAAGAUUUCUUUAUUUUUAGUUAAAAUAAAUCUGUGUUCCUCUCCUAGAUAACUCUGAGAUCUCAGACACAGAAAGGAUCCUGAGAACUUCUGCUGGGAGAGAGGAUGGUUACUAUUUGGGUCGUAGAUAAAUGAAUGGGAACAUCACAAGACAGUACGUAGGAAUAAAUGGGAUCAGAUUGAAUACAGACAGGCAUCCUGGCAAAGAAUCAAUCUAAAGGGAAGUACAAACUUCAUGCUCCACUGAUUGGUGGGGGGACCAAGUCGAUCUUACGGGAUCACAGUGGAGGACAAAAGGAGAGCAGGAAGAGUCAGUAUUUGUCAUGGGAUCCUUGUUGUAUUGAAACUGCACUUUUGAAAGUACAGAAGCACCUGUGGAGAACAUCAAAGAGAGCCGAGUGGAGCCGAGAGGAGACUAGAGAGUCAUGGAAGAAAAUAGUGAGAGACAGCAGGUGAACCACUCCGAUGAGAGAUAGGUGCGUGGAAUUCCAGAAGCGUUUGUCAGCGUUCCUAUUGACAUUUCUUUCUUUAAAUCCUCUAAUAAAAAGGAUGAAUUUUC